UGGCUCAGGAUGAACGCUGGCGGCGUGCUUAACACAUGCAAGUCGAAACGAGAAUCUGUGGAAAGAGGAUUCGUCCAAUUGAAGCAGAGGACAGUGGCGGACGGGUGAGUAACGCGUGAGGAACCUGCCUUUCAGAGGGGGACAACAGUUGGAAACGACUGCUAAUACCGCAUAACGCAUUUGUAUCGCAUGGUACGAAUGCCAAAGAUUUAUCGCUGAAAGAUGGCCUCGCGUCUGAUUAGCUGGUUGGUGAGGUAACGGCCCACCAAGGCGACGAUCAGUAGCCGGACUGAGAGGUUGAACGGCCACAUUGGGACUGAGAUACGGCCCAGACUCCUACGGGAGGCAGCAGUGGGGAAUA
RNAcentral lists this ribosomal RNA (361 nucleotides) under uncultured rumen bacterium. RNAcentral describes it as "bacterial SSU rRNA". It matches the Rfam family "Bacterial small subunit ribosomal RNA", at positions 20 to 363 of the family's 1533-position model. The record is from RNAcentral.